Molecule: non-coding RNA, 29 nt
Filed under: Homo sapiens (human)
Lineage: Eukaryota; Metazoa; Chordata; Mammalia; Primates; Hominidae
Source: RNAcentral
UGGAACAUCUUGGGUUGGCUUGGAGGUCC